AGUGAACGCUGGCGGUAGGCCUAACACAUGCAAGUCGAACGGCAGCACAGUAAGAGCUUGCUCUUACGGGUGGCGAGUGGCGGACGGGUGAGGAAUACAUCGGAAUCUACUUUUUCGUGGGGGAUAACGUAGGGAAACUUACGCUAAUACCGCAUACUACCUACGGGUUAAAGCAGGGGAUCUUCGGACCUUGCGCGAUUGAAUGAGCCGAUGUCGGAUUAGCUAGUUGGCGGGGUAAAGGCCCACCAAGGCGACGAUCCGUAGCUGGUCUGAGAGGAUGACCAGCCACACUGGAACUGAGACACGGUCCAGACUCCUACGGGAGGCAGAAGUGGGGAAUAUUGGACAAUGGGCGAAAGCCUGAUCCAGCCAUACCGCGUGGGUGAAGAAGGCCUUCGGGUUGUAAAGCCCUUUUGUUGGGAAAGAAAAGCAGCAGGUUAAUACCCCGCUGUUCUGACGGUACCCAAAGAAUAAGCACCGGCUAACUUCGUG
Molecule: ribosomal RNA, 492 nt
Filed under: uncultured bacterium
Lineage: Bacteria
Description: partial 16S ribosomal RNA
Rfam family: Bacterial small subunit ribosomal RNA
Source: RNAcentral